This 466-nucleotide ribosomal RNA is filed under the name Bacillus subtilis. RNAcentral's name for it is "bacterial SSU rRNA". It matches the Rfam family "Bacterial small subunit ribosomal RNA", at positions 351 to 808 of the family's 1533-position model. The record is from RNAcentral. Lineage: Bacteria; Bacillati; Bacillota; Bacilli; Caryophanales; Bacillaceae.
GCAGUAGGGAAUCUUCCGCAAUGGACGAAAGUCUGACGGAGCAACGCCGCGUGAGUGAUGAAGGUUUUCGGAUCGUAAAGCUCUGUUGUUAGGGAAGAACAAGUACCGUUCGAAUAGGGCGGUACCUUGACGGUACCUAACCAGAAAGCCACGGCUAACUACGUGCCAGCAGCCGCGGUAAUACGUAGGUGGCGAGCGUUGUCCGGAAUUAUUGGGCGUAAAGGGCUCGCAGGCGGUUUCUUAAGUCUGAUGUGAAAGCCCCCGGCUCAACCGGGGAGGGUCAUUGGAAACUGGGGAACUUGAGUGCAGAAGAGGAGAGUGGAAUUCCACGUGUAGCGGUGAAAUGCGUAGAGAUGUGGAGGAACACCAGUGGCGAAGGCGACUCUCUGGUCUGUAACUGACGCUGAGGAGCGAAAGCGUGGGGAGCGAACAGGAUUAGAUACCCUGGUAGUCCACGCCGUAAACG